AUUUUGGCAGUUGGUUUUGAAGGUCAUGCAACUGAAGGAAUACCAAGAAACUGAAUUAUUAUGCUACCAGAAUACCAAGCCAGUAGUCGAAGGCAAGAUGUUGAAAGCAUCGGACAUAGUGGAACCACUCUAUUGGAGAAAGAACACUCUCCAAUUGAUGCCUCAACCCUCUCUAUGUCACCUAUAUGUCCAGCACCUCUUUGCCGCCAGUUUUGGA
Molecule: unclassified non-coding RNA, 217 nt
Filed under: Hevea brasiliensis (rubber tree)
Lineage: Eukaryota; Viridiplantae; Streptophyta; Magnoliopsida; Malpighiales; Euphorbiaceae
Source: RNAcentral